This 440-nucleotide ribosomal RNA is filed under the name uncultured bacterium. Its description in RNAcentral is "partial 16S ribosomal RNA". It matches the Rfam family "Bacterial small subunit ribosomal RNA", at positions 338 to 795 of the family's 1533-position model. The record is from RNAcentral.
CCUACGGGUGGCAGCAGUGGGGAAUAUUGCACAAUGGGGGAAACACUGAUGCAGCAACGCAGCGUGAGUGAUGACGUAUUUCGGUAUGUUAAGCUCUUUCUGUAGGGAAGAAGAUGACGGUACCUGUAUUGGAAGCCACGGAUAACUACGUGCAGGACGCCGCGGUAAUACGUAGGGGGCCGGCGUUAUCCGGAUUUACUGGGCGUAAAGGGAGCGCAGACGGCAUGGCAGGUCUGGAGUGAAAGGCCGGGGCCCAACCCCGGAACUGCGCUGGAAACUGUGCGGCUAGAGUACUGGAAGGGCAGGCGGAAUUCGUAGUGUAGCGGUGAAAUGCGUAGAUAUUAGGAGGAACACCAGUUGCGAAGGCAGCCUGCGGGACAGUAACUGACGUUGAGGCUCGAAGGCGUGGGGAGCAAACAGGAUUAGAUACCCUUGUAGUC